CUCCUGCUUCUCCCUCCUGAGCGGUGCAUGGACUCUUGAUGCCAGGUUGAGGGACACUCCGGUUGGUAGGGUGAGCAUGCCCAUUCUCCAUUUGGAACAGGGAUUCCCGGUGAGUAUUUCUGAAUUCAUCGAUGUAUACUUCUCUUUUCUCACGUUCUUCUCAUGGAUUCUUCAAUUUUAUUUCCAUGUGAAUAUAUGGUUGCAAACAACCUUGACAGCAGUGCUAGAUUGAUGUGUUGUAAUAAAAACUGUUAUACUACCAUUGUACGUUUAAUUCUACAAAUGGGAUCAUAUUUAAAAUAAAAUAUAACUGAAAUUGGAUAUGGCCAUCUCUUUCACUCUGUAUACCGUUGUUUGUCUGAUUGCCCCAGUUUUAACUAUCUGCACACCCAUUAGGAUCAAACGGCUCACACGAAUUAAAUCCGAGGAUGUAGAGUUUAUUAAAACACACUUCUUAAUAGCAUCCUCACUAUUUCAAUAGCCUUAAUUUCUUAUGUUAAAUGAUUAUAUUAGUGUCUUCUUCUUGGUAGCUAUCUAAACAACACUGCUCUUUUGCUUUCUACUUCAGUUAUGUAGUUAGCCCUUUAAUAACGGGUGUGCUCAAUAGUAGUUUUUUUCUGUUCUUGGUACAUGUAUCUUCGAUUCACAGAUUUGCAAUCACUGGUGGGGAAUAAACAUGUACUUUGCGCAUCAUGUCAUUUUUUCUCGAGGGAUACUCUUCAAGUUUUAAAUCUUCUCUACUGUCACUUAAGUGCUAUGACUGUUUGGUCAGCAAAAUGAAACAAGUGUUCAGUCAUGAUAUUCCAUUUUCAACGGAAAUAUGUAUGCGUUAUCCAGGCUGCAGGUCGAGGUAUCCAGACUCCACACAUCUGGUCCCUUCUGCUGAAGAACUAGAUAUGCUAUCUCUUUUGGAUUACAAUUAUCUUAUCUGUCGGUAGAAGAAAACUUUGGUUAUCUUAGCAGACAAAGCUUGCUUGGAAAGCAACAUUCAACAUACUUCUCACCAAUCAGUCCAAUAGUUCAUGCGACUGGUUAUUGGUAAAUUACAUUGGAUAAACUCCCUUUUAUUAAUGUUGACUCUGUGCUCCAGCUAUUAAGAGCUCUACAUACUGUCGUGGCAGAAGUUGUGUUGAUAAUAUUAGCCAAAUCAUGCUUGAAUAAAUUUAUAUCCAAUAUUGCUAAUCCUUUCUUCAUUUGCUACAGAGUAAUAUAUAGCCCUGGUUCAUGAAGUGUGCUCAUAUAGAGGACAUGAACAUACCUUUGUCAAAUAAGGUGAUAGAGCCUGAACUUUGACUACUCGAUAAUUUUUUUGCUGCUCUACUUUUCUCUCUACAGAGAAAGAACCAAGGUUUGGAUAGGUAAUUAGUCUCUUGAACCAACAUAUUUUGUUUUGAGAGUAAUAAGUAGGAGUAACAUCCAUGAACAUACCUCUGUCAAAUAAGGUGAUAGAGCCUGAACUUUUGACUACUCGAUCAUUUUUUGCUGCUCUAAUUUUCUCUCUUCGGAGAAAGAACCAAGGUUUGGACAGGUAAUUAGUCUCUUGAACCAACAUAUUUUUGUUUUGAGAGUAAUAAGUAGGAGUAACAUCACAAGGGUGACCUAAUUUUCUUAUUAGGUACAGCCUGAUAAAUAUGUGAUACUGAUUUAUUUUGUAGCCUGGCUCUAGCUUUGUAGUUUGCCUAACGUUGAUUGUUGUAAAAUUGAAUCAAGCAGUUGGGUGGCGUGUCCAAAAUUUCCUGUCUUCUCUUUCUUCGGUAAGACAAAAUUGUUGUCCAGGAGAUCUCCCCAUACAUGGGUUUGUGAGAAGGUAAUCAGUAGAGGAGCUGUCAGUUUGGUUCAUCUUGCAAGACAAUCACUCUUUCCGUUAUUCCUAUGGUUUUACAAGUUGGAGCGGCGCAUGACGAGGACAAGCUAGAAGAAACACCGGCCAAGGACUAGAGAAAAGAAGCAAUGGCACAAUAAGAGCUCCAUUGAGGAUGAAGUACGUUUCGCACCUCCAAUCCCUCUGCAGAGGACCUGACAACUACUCUGGAGCUGGCCCAAUGCAUAUCAAGUUUCUACCCCUCCAUCCUUCCCAGAUCGAUUCACCAGUCUCGGUGUUUGCAUCAUGGCGACUAGAUCGGCGGUGGCAAAUCGCCAUGGACUAUCUUGGACACUAGAAGGAUAUCAAGGCCAAGACUCGAUCCUCCAGUGACGGCACCACGAGCAAGGAAGGCGAAGAUGCAGAGCGCAAUCUGAGUUUCUCCUGGCUUUCCACGUUGAAGAGCUCCACUUGGAAACGACCAGCAAGUGCAGAAGGGAAGAAAAGAAAGACUAGGGGCUCGUUUGGUUGCAAGGGACCCAGGAACCAGGGAACUACUUCCCCCAACGCGAAUAUCCCUGCGCGCUCGGGAACCCCAGGUUUCCCCUCCCGCUCGGGAGAAUCAAAGUUUGCUAUUUGGACAACACACGCAGGGAACGGACGGGAACAGGAGGAAAGAUGCGAAAUUCGAAAAUAA
Lolium perenne is the source of this 2498-nucleotide non-coding RNA. NCBI's taxonomy places the organism in Eukaryota, Viridiplantae, Streptophyta, Magnoliopsida, Poales, Poaceae. The record is from RefSeq and is a predicted model, not a curated record.